UACGUAGGGACCAAGCGUUGUUCGGAUUUACUGGGCGUAAAGGGCGCGUAGGCGGCUUAACAAGUCACUUGUGAAAUCUCCGGGCUUAACUCGGAACGGCCAAGUGAAACUGUCAAGCUAGAGUGCAGAAGGGGCAAUCGGAAUUCUUGGUGUAGCGGUGAAAUGCGUAGAUAUCAGGAGGAAUACCGAUGGCGAAGGCAGGUCUCUGGGCUGACACUGACGCUCAUGCACGAAAGCGUGGGGAGCAAACAGG
This 253-nucleotide ribosomal RNA is filed under the name uncultured bacterium. RNAcentral describes it as "partial 16S ribosomal RNA". It matches the Rfam family "Bacterial small subunit ribosomal RNA", at positions 524 to 776 of the family's 1533-position model. The record is from RNAcentral.